This 453-nucleotide long non-coding RNA is filed under the name Mytilus galloprovincialis (Mediterranean mussel). The record is from RNAcentral. Lineage: Eukaryota; Metazoa; Mollusca; Bivalvia; Mytilida; Mytilidae.
CUUUUGCACUUUGAUUGUUAUUUAUAAUUAGUUUCGUAGAAUAAGAACACAAGUAUUCAAAUAAAAAAUCAAUUCCAUUGGGCUCCAAUUUGAUAUAUCUCCACGGACAUCAUGAUGUGUAUAUACUUAACACCAAGCAAAGUACGAAGUAUCCCAAUUGAUUGUAAAAUUAAAGUUGUCAAUUGAUUAAAAAAUGACAAUCAACACCAAAGUCCACUAUAAAUAAAAAUCUUCAAAUGUGUCAUUAGGAAGUCACAGACGAGAAUCUUGUUUAAACAGCUACAUCUUAUAUUUUCAAUCGAAUAUGAAUUAUGCUUUCUAAUACUGUAGAUUCGUAAUUAUUCGUCGGGUAUCAAUUUUCGUAGUUUUUGUUGCUUCAGGGAAACACGAAUUAAAAUUUUCAAAUAUAUAUAUUUUUUCAAUAUAUGCUGACUUAAGUAAAACAACGGAAUC